AAGUUGCAGGGUAUAGACCCGAAACCCGGUGAUCUAGCCAUGGGCAGGUUGAAGGUUGGGUAACACUAACUGGAGGACCGAACCGACUAAUGUUGAAAAAUUAGCGGAUGACCUGUGGCUGGGGGUGAAAGGCCAAUCAAACCGGGAGAUAGCUGGUUCUCCCCGAAAGCUAUUUAGGUAGCGCCUCGUGAAUUCAUCUCCGGGGGUAGAGCACUGUUUCGGCUAGGGGGCCAUCCCGGCUUACCAACCCGAUGCAAACUGCGAAUACCGGAGAAUGUUAUCACGGGAGACACACGGCGGGUGCUAACGUCCGUCGUGAAGAGGGAAACAACCCAGACCGCCAGCUAAGGUCCCAAAGUCAUGGUUAAGUGGGAAACGAUGUGGGAAGGCCCAGACAGCCAGGAUGUUGGCUUAGAAGCAGCCAUCAUUUAAAGAAAGCGUAAUAGCUCACUGGUCGAGUCGGCCUGCGCGGAAGAUGUAACGGGGCUAAACCAUGCACCGAAGCUGCGGCAGCGACGCUGAUGCGUUGUUGGGUAGGGGAGCGUUCUGUAAGCCUGCGAAGGUGGCCUGUGAGGGUUGCUGGAGGUAUCAGAAGUGCGAAUGCUGACAUAAGUAACGAUAAAGCGGGUGAAAAGCCCGCUCGCCGGAAGACCAAGGGUUCCUGUCCAACGUUAAUCGGGGCAGGGUGAGUCGACCCCUAAGGCGAGGCCGAAAGGCGUAGUCGAUGGGAAACGGGUUAAUAUUCCCGUACUUGGUGUUACUGCGAAGGGGGGACGGAGAAGGCUAUGUUGGCCGGGCGACGGUUGUCCCGGUUUAAGCGUGUAGGUGUGUGUUCCAGGUAAAUCCGGUUCACUUUAACACUGAGGCGUGAUGACGAGGCACUACGGUGCUGAAGCAACAAAUGCCCUGCUUCCAGGAAAAGCCUCUAAGCAUCAGGUAACAUCAAAUCGUACCCCAAACCGACACAGGUGGUCAGGUAGAGAAUACCAAGGCGCUUGAGAGAACUCGGGUGAAGGAACUAGGCAAAAUGGUGCCGUAACU
RNAcentral lists this ribosomal RNA (1041 nucleotides) under Salmonella enterica subsp. enterica serovar Derby. Its description in RNAcentral is "partial 23S ribosomal RNA". It matches the Rfam family "Bacterial large subunit ribosomal RNA", at positions 697 to 1735 of the family's 2925-position model. The record is from RNAcentral. Lineage: Bacteria; Pseudomonadati; Pseudomonadota; Gammaproteobacteria; Enterobacterales; Enterobacteriaceae.